CCUACGGGAGGCAGCAGUGGGGAAUAUUGCGCAAUGGGCGAAAGCCUGACGCAGCGACGCCGCGUGAGGGAUGAAGGUCUUCGGAUCGUAAACCUCUGUCAGCAGGGAAGAGCGGUCACUGUGCUAAUCAGCAGUGAAUUGACGGUACCUGCAAAGGAAGGACCGGCUAACUCCGUGCCAGCAGCCGCGGUAAUACGGAGGGGGCGAGCGUUAGUCGGAAUUACUGGGCGUAAAGCGCUCGUAGGCGGUAUGUCAAGUCAAGGGUGAAAUCCCCGCGCUCAACGUGGGAACUGCCUUUGAAACUGGCAGACUGGAGUGUGGGAGAGGGUAGUGGAAUUCCUGGUGUAGCGGUGAAAUCCGUAGAUAUCUGGAAGAACAUCAGUGGCGAAGGCGGCUGUCUGGCACAUAACUGACGCUGAGGAGCGAAAGCGUGGGUAGCAAACAGGAUUAGAUACCCUGGUAGUC
Molecule: ribosomal RNA, 465 nt
Filed under: uncultured bacterium
Lineage: Bacteria
Description: partial 16S ribosomal RNA
Rfam family: Bacterial small subunit ribosomal RNA
Source: RNAcentral